AUGCAGUUGAGCGCUGAGGUUGGUACUUGUACCAACUGGAUGAGCAGCGAACGGGUGAGUAACGCGUGGGGAAUCUGCCUUUGAGCGGGGGACAACAUUUGGAAACGAAUGCUAAUACCGCAUAAAAACUUUAAACACAAGUUUUAAGUUUGAAAGAUGCAAUUGCAUCACUCAAAGAUGAUCCCGCGUUGUAUUAGCUAGUUGGUGAGGUAAAGGCUCACCAAGGCGAUGAUACAUAGCCGACCUGAGAGGGUGAUCGGCCACAUUGGGACUGAGACACGGCCCAAACUCCUACGGGAGGCAGCAGUAGGGAAUCUUCGGCAAUGGACGAAAGUCUGACCGAGCAACGCCGCGUGAGUGAAGAAGGUUUUCGGAUCGUAAAACUCUGUUGGUAGAGAAGAACGUUGGUGAGAGUGGAAAGCUCAUCAAGUGACGGUAACUACCCAGAAAGGGACGGCUAACUACGUGCCAGCAGCCGCGGUAAUACGUAGGUCCCGAGCGUUGUCCGGAUUUAUUGGGCGUAAAGCGAGCGCAGGUGGUUUAUUAAGUCUGGUGUAAAAGGCAGUGGCUCAACCAUUGUAUGCAUUGGAAACUGGUAGACUUGAGUGCAGGAGAGGAGAGUGGAAUUCCAUGUGUAGCGGUGAAAUGCGUAGAUAUAUGGAGGAACACCGGUGGCGAAAGCGGCUCUCUGGCCUGUAACUGACACUGAGGCUCGAAAGCGUGGGGAGCAAACAGGAUUAGAUACCCUGGUAGUCCACGCCGUAAACGAUGAGUGCUAGAUGUAGGGAGCUAUAAGUUCUCUGUAUCGCAGCUAACGCAAUAAGCACUCCGCCUGGGGAGUACGACCGCAAGGUUGAAACUCAAAGGAAUUGACGGGGGCCCGCACAAGCGGUGGAGCAUGUGGUUUAAUUCGAAGCAACGCGAAGAACCUUACCAGGUCUUGACAUACUCGUGCUAUUCCUAGAAGAUAGGAAGUUCCUUCGGGACACGGGAUACAGGUGGUGCAUGGUUGUCGUCAGCUCGUGUCGUGAGAUGGUUGGGGUUAAGUCCCGCAACGAGCGCAACCCCUAUUGUUAGUUGCCAUCAUUAAGUUGGGCACUCUAACGAGACUGCCGGUGAUAAACCGGAGGAAAGGUGGGGAUGACGUCAAAUCAUCAU
This 1158-nucleotide ribosomal RNA is filed under the name Lactococcus lactis. RNAcentral's name for it is "bacterial SSU rRNA". It matches the Rfam family "Bacterial small subunit ribosomal RNA", at positions 55 to 1196 of the family's 1533-position model. The record is from RNAcentral. Lineage: Bacteria; Bacillati; Bacillota; Bacilli; Lactobacillales; Streptococcaceae.